RNAcentral lists this ribosomal RNA (253 nucleotides) under uncultured bacterium. Its description in RNAcentral is "partial 16S ribosomal RNA". It matches the Rfam family "Bacterial small subunit ribosomal RNA", at positions 524 to 776 of the family's 1533-position model. The record is from RNAcentral.
UACGUAGGUGGCAAGCGUUGUCCGGAUUUAUUGGGGUUAAAGGGUGCGUAGGCGGUCCUAUAAGUCAGUGCUGAAAUAUCCCGGCUUAACCGGGAGGGUGGCAUUGAUACUGCAGGACUUGAGUAAAGUUGAGGUAGGCGGAAUUGACGGUGUAGCGGUGAAAUGCUUAGAUAUCGUCAAGAACACCGAUAGUGUAGACAGCUUACUAAGCUUUAACUGACGCUGAGGCACGAAAGUGUGGGGAUCAAACAGG